GGGGUUGUGGCUCAGUGGUAGAGUGCUCGCCUGGCAUGCGUGAAGCCCUGGAUUCCAUUCCCACCUCCA
This 69-nucleotide transfer RNA is filed under the name Ictidomys tridecemlineatus (thirteen-lined ground squirrel). Its description in RNAcentral is "Spermophilus tridecemlineatus (thirteen-lined ground squirrel) tRNA". It matches the Rfam family "tRNA". Rfam says of the family: Transfer RNA (tRNA) molecules are approximately 80 nucleotides in length. Their secondary structure includes four short double-helical elements and three loops (D, anti-codon, and T loops). Further hydrogen bonds mediate the characteristic L-shaped molecular structure. tRNAs have two regions of fundamental functional importance: the anti-codon, which is responsible for specific mRNA codon recognition, and the 3' end, to which the tRNAs corresponding amino acid is attached (by aminoacyl-tRNA synthetases). tRNAs cope with the degeneracy of the genetic code in two manners: having more than one tRNA (with a specific anti-codon) for a particular amino acid; and 'wobble' base-pairing, i.e. permitting non-standard base-pairing at the 3rd anti-codon position. Lineage: Eukaryota; Metazoa; Chordata; Mammalia; Rodentia; Sciuridae. The record is from Rfam by way of RNAcentral.